Molecule: ribosomal RNA, 434 nt
Filed under: uncultured bacterium
Lineage: Bacteria
Description: partial 16S ribosomal RNA
Rfam family: Bacterial small subunit ribosomal RNA
Source: RNAcentral
AGCGAACGCUGGCGGCAGGCCUAACACAUGCAAGUCGAACGAACCUUUCGGGGUUAGUGGCGGACGGGUGAGUAACACGUGGGAACGUGCCUUUAGGUUCGGAAUAACUCAGGGAAACUUGUGCUAAUACCGAAUGUGCCCUUGGGGGGUAAGAUUUAUCGCCUUUAGAGCGGCCCGCGUCUGAUUAGUUAGUUGGUUGAGGUAAUGGCUCACCAAGGCGACGAUCAGUAGCUGGUCUGAGAGGAUGAUCAGCCACAUUGGGACUGAGACACGGCCCAAACUCCUACGGGAGGCAGCAGUGGGGAAUCUUGCGCAAUGGGCGAAAGCCUGACGCAGCCAUGCCGCGUGAAUGAUGAAGGUCUUAGGAUUGUAAAAUUCUUUCACCGGGGACGAUAAUGACGGUACCCGGAGAAGAAGCCCCGGCUAACUUCGUG